Molecule: unclassified non-coding RNA, 329 nt
Filed under: soil metagenome
Description: partial contains 5.8S ribosomal RNA, internal transcribed spacer 2, and large subunit ribosomal RNA
Rfam family: 5.8S ribosomal RNA (bases 1-120)
Source: RNAcentral
GAUGAAGAACGUAGCGAAAUGCGAUAAGUAAUGUGAAUUGCAGAAUUCAGUGAAUCAUCGAAUCUUUGAACGCACAUUGCGCCCCCUGGUAUUCCGGGGGGCAUGCCUGUCCGAGCGUCAUUACAACCCUCAAGCUCAGCUUGGUGUUGGGCCCUGCCGCCCCGGCGGGCCCUAAAGUCAGUGGCGGUGCCGUCCGGCUCCGAGCGUAGUAAUUCUUCUCGCUCUGGAGGUCCGGUCGUGUGCUCGCCAGCAACCCCCAAUUUUUUUCAGGUUGACCUCGGAUCAGGUAGGGAUACCCGCUGAACUUAAGCAUAUCAAUAAGCGGAGGA